This 1528-nucleotide ribosomal RNA is filed under the name uncultured bacterium. Its description in RNAcentral is "bacterial SSU rRNA". It matches the Rfam family "Bacterial small subunit ribosomal RNA". The record is from RNAcentral.
AGAGUUUGAUCCUGGCUCAGAGCGAACGCUGGCGGCGUGGCUAAGACAUGCAAGUCGAACGGACUAUCCAAUUGAGUAAUCGAGAGGAUAGUUAGUGGCGAAAGGGUGAGUAACGGAUAGGUAACGUACCCCGAGCUUCGGAACAGCGUCGUUCGCCUUCGGGCGAACUACCGAAAGGGGCGGUAAUACCGAAUAAUAUCACCUGUUGACAGGCUUGUGAUCAAAGAUUUAUCGGCGCGGGAGCGGCCUAUCUCCUAUCAGCUUGUUGGUGAGGUAAUGGCUCACCAAGGCUAUGACGGGUAGCGGGACUGAGAGGUUGUUCCGCCACAUCGGGACUGAGACACUGCCCGGACCUCCACGGAGGGCUGCAGUAACGAAUCUUGCGCAAUGGGCGAAAGCCUGACGCAGCGACGCCGCGUGUGGGAGGAAGUCUUUCGGGAUGUAAACCACUGUCAGGGGUAAGAAAGUCCACCUCGGUGGACUGAUCUAACCCGGAGGAAGUCACGGCUAACUUCGUGCCAGCAGCCGCGGUAAGACGAAGGUGGCAAGCGUUGCUCGGUAUUACUGGGCUUAAAGAGUGUGUAGGCGGAAGGGUAAGCGUCUCGCGAAAGCCCCCGGCUUAACCGGGGAACGGCGGGACGUACUGCCUUUCUUGAGCCAAGUAGGGGUGCAUGGAACUCUUGGUGGAGCGGUGAAAUGCGUAGAUAUCAAGAGGAACGCCGGUGGUGAAAACGGUGCACUGGGCUUGUGCUGACGCUGAGACACGAAAGCGUGGGUAGCGAACGGGAUUAGAUACCCCGGUAGUCCACGCCGUAAACGAUGUCUACUAGGUUGUGGGGGUUCUGACGCUCGCACGGCCGAAGCAAAAGUGCUAAGUAGACCGCCUGGGGAGUACGGCCGCAAGGCUAAAACUCAAAGGAAUUGACGGGGGCUCACACAAGCGGUGGAGCAUGUGGAUUAAUUCGAAGCAACGCGCAGAACCUUACCUGGGUUUGACAUGCUUGGAUGUCGCCUGCGAAAGUGGGUUGGCUGCCCUUCGGGGUGAAACUUGCACAGGUGCUGCAUGGCUGUCGUCAGCUCGUGUUGUGAAAUGUCGGGUUAAGUCCCUUAACGAGCGAAACCCUUGCCGUUAGUUGCCUGCGGGUCAUGCCGGGGACUCUAACGGGACUGCCGGUGUCAAACCGGAGGAAGGUGGGGAUGACGUCAAGUCAUCAUGGCCUUUAUGCCCAGGGCCUCACACGUGCUACAAUGGCGGCCACAGAGCGACGCGAGACCGCGAGGUGGAGCAAAUCGCAAAAAGGUCGCCCCAGUUCGGAUUGUAGGCUGGCAAUUCGCCUGCAUGAAGUCGGAAUCGCUAGUAAUCGCGUAUCAGCGACGACGCGGUGAAUGUGUUCCUGAGCCUUGUACACACCGCCCGUCAAGUGAUGGGAGUUGGGAGUACCCGAAGUCGGUUUGCUAACUUGAUUUAUCAAGGGGCGGCUGCCGACGGUAAGCCCGAUGACUGGCACUAAGUCGUAACAAGGUAACC